CCUACGGGGGGCUGCAGUGGGGAAUAUUGGACAAUGGGGGCAACCCUGAUCCAGCCAUGCCGCGUGUGUGAAGAAGGCCCUCGGGUUGUAAAGCACUUUCAGUGAGGAAGAACGCCUGGUGGUUAAUACCCAUCUGGAAAGACAUCACUCACAGAAGAAGCACCGGCUAACUCCGUGCCAGCAGCCGCGGUAAUACGGAGGGUGCGAGCGUUAAUCGGAAUUACUGGGCGUAAAGCGCGCGUAGGUGGCUUGAUAAGCCGGUUGUGAAAGCCCCGGGCUCAACCUGGGAACGGCAUCCGGAACUGUCAAGCUAGAGUGCAGGAGAGGAAGGUAGAAUUCCCGGUGUAGCGGUGAAAUGCGUAGAGAUCGGGAGGAAUACCAGUGGCGAAGGCGGCCUUCUGGACUGACACUGACACUGAGGUGCGAAAGCGUGGGUAGCAAACAGGAUUAGAUACCCUUGUAGUC
RNAcentral lists this ribosomal RNA (465 nucleotides) under Vreelandella stevensii. Its description in RNAcentral is "partial 16S ribosomal RNA". It matches the Rfam family "Bacterial small subunit ribosomal RNA", at positions 338 to 795 of the family's 1533-position model. Lineage: Bacteria; Pseudomonadati; Pseudomonadota; Gammaproteobacteria; Oceanospirillales; Halomonadaceae. The record is from RNAcentral.